AUGGACGUAUUGCUAGGGGAACUGGC
RNAcentral lists this non-coding RNA (26 nucleotides) under Cricetulus griseus (Chinese hamster). The record is from RNAcentral. Lineage: Eukaryota; Metazoa; Chordata; Mammalia; Rodentia; Cricetidae.